Molecule: long non-coding RNA, 895 nt
Filed under: Heterocephalus glaber (naked mole-rat)
Lineage: Eukaryota; Metazoa; Chordata; Mammalia; Rodentia; Bathyergidae
Description: lncRNA (ENSHGLG00000044968.1)
Source: RNAcentral
GUCCCAGUCUCACUGUGUUGUUUGUGAAAAUGGCCAGCAUGAGGAAUUAUUAAUUAAAGCUAACAAAUCACCCUGACGAGCUGGGCUGUAGCAUGGCUGAAGGUUGAUUGGCGAAAGUGUUCUCCUUUGGAGAAAAGACUUUUUGUGCUCGUGACGCAGUCAGGGACGGAUUAUUGAAUAUUCAAGUUAGAAGAAAAAUCACAGGACAAGCAAAUUGAGUAUUUACUGGCAAAUAAUUGCUCUCUUAAGCUGUGGCUCUCUUCCUAAAUUCUUAACAUUCCCGUGGGUUAGAAAGAAACUCAGAAAAAUGCAUCGGUGCAGAGUACAUUUCAAAAAAAAUACAUAGACUGAUGUUUCAGAUUUGUGCAGAAUGUUUCACCAUCACUAACUUGAUAUUCCUCACAACAUUUCUGGCUGGAGUUUUCUGUGGAAAAGCAGGAAAAGGGAAGUGGAGGAGGAAGGCAUCCUUCCAUAUCCUGUGAUAAACCCACCAAGGGUCACUACUUUCGGUAAGAGUCUGGAAAGAAACUGCCAGAGGACACAUCUGAACCUUGCAGUGGCUGGCACUUUUCCUCAACGUUGUGAGAAAAAGAGAAUUAGCUGGAAUAAAAUCUUGCUUUCCAUAUGGUGAACUUGAAAUGCAGCAUUGAACAGUUCCUUGACCAUCAGUUUGUCACCUGCCCCUUCUCUUUAUGAUAAGUCUAAAGCAGUGGAACUACCACGGUAAUAUGUAUACAUUAAUAAACUGUCUUCCAGUAAAGUUGUGUCAAUUUAUACUUGCACCAACAAACAAAAAAAAUACUGCCCAAUUUUUCUGCAUUUUCACUAAUUCUCAAAUAUAACUUUUGUCAUAUAAAUGAGUAUUUUCAUGUUGGGAGUAUGAGAUGUAUUUUCC